This 608-nucleotide ribosomal RNA is filed under the name bacterium 4746K6-B1. Its description in RNAcentral is "bacterial SSU rRNA". It matches the Rfam family "Bacterial small subunit ribosomal RNA", at positions 61 to 664 of the family's 1533-position model. The record is from RNAcentral.
GUCGAGCGGUAACAGAAAGUAGCUUGCUACUUUGCUGACGAGCGGCGGACGGGUGAGUAAUGCUUGGGAACAUGCCUUGAGGUGGGGGACAACAGUUGGAAACGACUGCUAAUACCGCAUAAUGUCUACGGACCAAAGGGGGCUUCGGCUCUCGCCUUUAGAUUGGCCCAAGUGGGAUUAGCUAGUUGGUGAGGUAAUGGCUCACCAAGGCGACGAUCCCUAGCUGGUUUGAGAGGAUGAUCAGCCACACUGGGACUGAGACACGGCCCAGACUCCUACGGGAGGCAGCAGUGGGGAAUAUUGCACAAUGGGCGCAAGCCUGAUGCAGCCAUGCCGCGUGUGUGAAGAAGGCCUUCGGGUUGUAAAGCACUUUCAGUCAGGAGGAAAGGUUAGUAGUUAAUACCUGCUAGCUGUGACGUUACUGACAGAAGAAGCACCGGCUAACUCCGUGCCAGCAGCCGCGGUAAUACGGAGGGUGCGAGCGUUAAUCGGAAUUACUGGGCGUAAAGCGUACGCAGGCGGUUUGUUAAGCGAGAUGUGAAAGCCCCGGGCUCAACCUGGGAACUGCAUUUCGAACUGGCAAACUAGAGUGUGAUAGAGGGUGGUAG